ACCAGACUCCUACGGGAGGCAGCAGUGGGGAAUAUUGGGCAAUGGGCGCAAGCCUGACCCGGCAACGCCGCGUGAAGGAAGAAGGCUUUCGGGUUGUAAACUUCUUUUAAGAGGGAAGAGAAGAAGACGGUACCUCUUGAAUAAGCCACGGCUAACUACGUGCCAGCAGCCGCGGUAAUACGUAGGUGGCAAGCGUUGUCCGGAUUUACUGGGUGUAAAGGGCGUGCAGCCGGGCUGACAAGUCAGAUGUGAAAUCCCGCGGCUCAACCGCGGAACUGCAUUUGAAACUGUCAGUCUUGAGUACCGGAGAGGUCAUCGGAAUUCCUUGUGUAGCGGUGAAAUGCGUAGAUAUAAGGAGGAACACCAGUGGCGAAGGCGGCCUGCUGGACCGCGACUGACGUUGAGGCUCGAAAGCGUGGGGAGCGAACAGGAUUAGAUACCCCCGUA
RNAcentral lists this ribosomal RNA (447 nucleotides) under uncultured bacterium. Its description in RNAcentral is "partial 16S ribosomal RNA". It matches the Rfam family "Bacterial small subunit ribosomal RNA", at positions 330 to 792 of the family's 1533-position model. The record is from RNAcentral.